CUAAUUAACUAUCAUCAUCACUCCUUAAUUUAUUAUUAAAAACACAAAAAGGAAGCCAAUAAAACGUUGAAAAAAGAAAAAGAAAAAAACCAACGCUUUCUUUUGAAUCUUCCCGUAUUUUCCUGUUUUGAACUGGUCGUUGUUGUAGUUGUUGUUAUUGGUAGGGAGCUGGGUUCCUCUCUUUGAACCCUUCAUCUUCUUGUAAAUCUCUCCAUUUUAAGGGGGUCAAGCUCCUGGUUUCUGCUUUGUGAGUUCUUUUCUUUUGCUAUUGUUAAAUGUGGAGAGAUCCUGGACAGCCUGCUGAUUCGUACUAUCAGGUCCGGCCUGAAUGCACCGAUGUUCCAAAAUCUAAAUUCAAAAUCAAGGCAGGUAGAACUUUAAGUUCAAGGAAAUGGCAGGCUGCAUUUACUCCAGAAGGAUACCUGGAUAUAAGCAAAACCCUUAGUCGAAUCUACCGUGGGGGGGUCCAUCCAUCAAUUAGAGGAGAAGUUUGGGAAUUUCUACUCGGUUGUUAUGAUCCUAAGAGUACAUUUGAUGAACGAGAUCAGAUUCGACAGCGUAGAAGGGUACAAUAUGUUAGGUGGAAAGAAGAGUGCCGCCAAAUAUUUCCUGUUGUCGGAAGUGGCAAAUUUAUUACAGCGCCUGUAAUCACUGAAGAUGGUCAGCCCAUUCAGGAACCAUUAGUAAUUUUAGAAACAAAUCAAGACAGAGGCCCCUCUCAAGAUGGUAAUUCUGCUGAAAUUGGCAGUUCACAUGCCUAUGCCACAAAUCAAUCAAGAACAAAUGCUUCCUGUUCAGAAAUGGUGAAAGAGCUUACAAGCCAUGGCCCUUUGGACCAGAAAGUGAUCCAGUGGAUGCUUACCUUACAUCAAAUAGGUCUUGAUGUGCAUCGCACUGACAGGACAUUGGUGUUUUAUGAGAAGCAGGAGAACUUGUCAAAACUUUGGGAUAUUUUAGCUGUUUAUGCCUGGAUCGAUACAGAUGUCGGCUAUUGUCAAGGAAUGAGUGAUCUUUGCUCACCCAUGAUAAUGCUUCUUGAAGAUGAAGCGGAUGCAUUUUGGUGUUUUGAACGAUUGAUGCGCAGAUUGCGAGGAAAUUUCAGAUGCACUGGGAGAACUGUUGGGGUGGAGACACAACUUAGUAAUUUGGCUGAAAUUACUCAAGUCAUUGAUCCAAAACUUCAUCAGCAUUUAGAUGCACUUGGUGGAGGUGACUAUUUAUUUGCUUUCCGCAUGCUCAUGGUUUUAUUCCGCCGAGAAUUUUCAUUUUGUGAUUCACUCUACCUUUGGGAGAUGAUGUGGGCCCUUGAAUACGACCCUGAUUUGUUCUCUGUAUAUGAAGAGCUGGAACUGAAUGGUGAGAAACAUGAGGGAUCUAAGGGAAGAGUAAAGUCAAUACGGCACUAUGGGAAGUUCGAAAGGGAAAAUAUGAAAAAUGGGGCAGCAAAUUCUGAAGGCCCCCUCCCCAUGUCUGUUUUUCUUGUUGCAAGUGUAUUGAAAGAUAAGAGCUCUAAGCUUUUGCACGAAGCUCGAGGCCUGGAUGAUGUUGUCAGGGGGAUGACUGGUGAGUUGCUGCAGCUUGGGCAUCACCCUUUCUGUGUGCAUGUGUCUCGAGAAAGAUUCAAACCUAAAUUCCAAGCAGCCUCCAUUUCCCUCUCUAGUUGCCAUAGCUGUGUGUUGCUUGUUGAGGAGCAGUCUCAAACCCCACUCAUGACAUUGUUAUUUGGAGUCUGAAACUGAAAACAUGGCCAGAGUUUGUCUGGUGGCGUGGAACAGUUGAAUGUGUCCUACACCAGUCAUGUGCUAUGCUUAUAUUGAAUGACAUGACUGGAAAUUUAGAUGCCAAAAAAGCAUGCAGCGGUGCAAUGAAACUUCACAGAAAGUAUUUAAAAAAGGCGAAGAAGGCAUAGCCUACAAUGAAACACAUGAUUUUUUUCCCCAGUCGACAAGUAUUGGGAAGCUUUCGUUUUGUAUUUUAAUUUUUCAAGUGAUGACAAUAUACUUGCACAUAAAUUUUUUGCUUGGAGAUCACAAAACUGUAAAGAUUGCUCCAACCUGCAAAAUGGUCAUACAGAAAGCAAAUUGUUGUAUGUAAACCACCCCCUUCCUCACGAAAAUCUAUGUAUAAACAGAACCAUGCAUGUAUCCAUCCAUGUUGUGUAAUAUACGUUCUAAUUUAAUCAUCAAUGAAAUACAAAGAAAAUCAUCUGCGUGCA
Molecule: RNA transcript, 2215 nt
Organism: Populus nigra (black poplar)
Lineage: Eukaryota; Viridiplantae; Streptophyta; Magnoliopsida; Malpighiales; Salicaceae
Gene name: rab GTPase-activating protein 22-like
Exons: 12
Source: RefSeq, a predicted model, not a curated record